CAGGGUGACAGCCCCGUACACAAAAAUGCACAUGCUGUGAGCUCGAUGAGUAGGGCGGGACACGUGGUAUCCUGUCUGAAUAUGGGGGGACCAUCCUCCAAGGCUAAAUACUCCUGACUGACCGAUAGUGAACCAGUACCGUGAGGGAAAGGCGAAAAGAACCCCGGCGAGGGGAGUGAAAAAGAACCUGAAACCGUGUACGUACAAGCAGUGGGAGCACGCUUAGGCGUGUGACUGCGUACCUUUUGUAUAAUGGGUCAGCGACUUAUAUUCUGUAGCAAGGUUAACCGAAUAGGGGAGCCGAAGGGAAACCGAGUCUUAACUGGGCGUUAAGUUGCAGGGUAUAGACCCGAAACCCGGUGAUCUAGCCAUGGGCAGGUUGAAGGUUGGGUAACACUAACUGGAGGACCGAACCGACUAAUGUUGAAAAAUUAGCGGAUGACUUGUGGCUGGGGGUGAAAGGCCAAUCAAACCGGGAGAUAGCUGGUUCUCCCCGAAAGCUAUUUAGGUAGCGCCUCGUGAAUUCAUCUCCGGGGGUAGAGCACUGUUUCGGCAAGGGGGUCAUCCCGACUUACCAACCCGAUGCAAACUGCGAAUACCGGAGAAUGUUAUCACGGGAGACACACGGCGGGUGCUAACGUCCGUCGUGAAGAGGGAAACAACCCAGACCGCCAGCUAAGGUCCCAAAGUCAUGGUUAAGUGGGAAACGAUGUGGGAAGGCCCAGACAGCCAGGAUGUUGGCUUAGAAGCAGCCAUCAUUUAAAGAAAGCGUAAUAGCUCACUGGUCGAGUCGGCCUGCGCGGAAGAUGUAACGGGGCUAAACCAUGCACCGAAGCUGCGGCAGCGACACUGUGUGUUGUUGGGUAGGGGAGCGUUCUGUAAGCCUGCGAAGGUGUGCUGUGAGGCAUGCUGGAGGUAUCAGAAGUGCGAAUGCUGACAUAAGUAACGAUAAAGCGGGUGAAAAGCCCGCUCGCCGGAAGACCAAGGGUUCCUGUCCAACGUUAAUCGGGGCAGGGUGAGUCGACCCCUAAGGCGAGGCCGAAAGGCGUAGUCGAUGGGAAACAGGUUAAUAUUCCUGUACUUGGUGUUACUGCGAAGGGGGGACGGAGAAGGCUAUGUUGGCCGGGCGACGGUUGUCCCGGUUUAAGCGUGUAGGCUGGUUUUCCAGGCAAAUCCGGAAAAUCAAGGCUGAGGCGUGAUGACGAGGCACUACGGUGCUGAAGCAACAAAUGCCCUGCUUCCAGGAAAAGCCUCUAAGCAUCAGGUAACAUCAAAUCGUACCCCAAACCGACACAGGUGGUCAGGUAGAGAAUACCAAGGCGCUUGAGAGAACUCGGGUGAAGGAACUAGGCAAAAUGGUGCCGUAACUUCGGGAGAAGGCACGCUGAUAUGUAGGUGAAGUCCCUCGCGGAUGGAGCUGAAAUCAGUCGAAGAUACCAGCUGGCUGCAACUGUUUAUUAAAAACACAGCACUGUGCAAACACGAAAGUGGACGUAUACGGUGUGACGCCUGCCCGGUGCCGGAAGGUUAAUUGAUGGGGUCAGCGCAAGCGAAGCUCUUGAUCGAAGCCCCGGUAAACGGCGGCCGUAACUAUAACGGUCCUAAGGUAGCGAAAUUCCUUGUCGGGUAAGUUCCGACCUGCACGAAUGGCGUAAUGAUGGCCAGGCUGUCUCCACCCGAGACUCAGUGAAAUUGAACUCGCUGUGAAGAUGCAGUGUACCCGCGGCAAGACGGAAAGACCCCGUGAACCUUUACUAUAGCUUGACACUGAACAUUGAGCCUUGAUGUGUAGGAUAGGUGGGAGGCUUUGAAGUGUGGACGCCAGUCUGCAUGGAGCCGACCUUGAAAUACCACCCUUUAAUGUUUGAUGUUCUAACGUUGACCCGUGAUCCGGGUUGCGGACAGUGUCUGGUGGGUAGUUUGACUGGGGCGGUCUCCUCCUAAAGAGUAACGGAGGAGCACGAAGGUUGGCUAAUCCUGGUCGGACAUCAGGAGGUUAGUGCAAUGGCAUAAGCCAGCUUGACUGCGAGCGUGACGGCGCGAGCAGGUGCGAAAGCAGGUCAUAGUGAUCCGGUGGUUCUGAAUGGAAGGGCCAUCGCUCAACGGAUAAAAGGUACUCCGGGGAUAACAGGCUGAUACCGCCCAAGAGUUCAUAUCGACGGCGGUGUUUGGCACCUCGAUGUCGGCUCAUCACAUCCUGGGGCUGAAGUAGGUCCCAAGGGUAUGGCUGUUCGCCAUUUAAAGUGGUACGCGAGCUGGGUUUAGAACGUCGUGAGACAGUUCGGUCCCUAUCUGCCGUGGGCGCUGGAGAACUGAGGGGGGCUGCUCCUAGUACGAGAGGACCGGAGUGGACGCAUCACUGGUGUUCGGGUUGUCAUGCCAAUGGCACUGCCCGGUAGCUAAAUGCGGAAGAGAUAAGUGCUGAAAGCAUCUAAGCACGAAACUUGCCCCGAGAUGAGUUCUCCCUGACUCCUUGAGAGUCCUGAAGGAACGUUGAAGACGACGACGUUGAUAGGCCGGGUGUGUAAGCGCAGCGAUGCGUUGAGCUAACCGGUACUAAUGAACCGUGAG
This 2571-nucleotide ribosomal RNA is filed under the name Escherichia coli. Its description in RNAcentral is "partial 23S ribosomal RNA". It matches the Rfam family "Bacterial large subunit ribosomal RNA", at positions 360 to 2915 of the family's 2925-position model. Lineage: Bacteria; Pseudomonadati; Pseudomonadota; Gammaproteobacteria; Enterobacterales; Enterobacteriaceae. The record is from RNAcentral.